AGUGCGGCUUCCCACUAGGCGCGUGGUACCCGAGGCCGGGCCGGAGCCGCAGGCCAGCCGCGAUUCCUUCGGGCGAUGCUGGGGGCUUUCCGGUCGGGGCCGCAGCCGCUUCCGGAGCCGCGGGCGAGGUGCAAGCGGUCUUCUCUGUCUUCUUUAUGGCCAGUAAAAUUCUCCAGAAGAGAUUUAUGGCAGCCUCACUCCCAGUAGUUUCUGCAUUUAGUGAGAUAAGAUGGAAUCUUGCUCUCUUGCUCAGACUGGAGUGCAGUGGCAUGACCUUGGCUCACUGCAACCUCACCUCUCGGGUUCAAGCGAUUCUGCCUCAGCCUCUCGAGUAGCUGGGACUACAGGUGGGAGACCUCCACAGAACCCUUCCAGCAAGCUGUCUUCUAAAGCAAACAAGAAAAGGAAAGUCUGAGCAGUUUUGAUUAGAUUUCCCAGAAGUCAAAGCAAGGAAAAAUGAAAAAGCUUCAUUUCUCACGUUCUUAAAAGAGAGCACAGAUGUUGCAUCAUCUGGUUAGAUACCCUGAGAAUAAAAUCUGGAUCCAGUGAGAGGAAAGAUUCUGGGUGCUCAUGAAAAAAGAAACAAAACAAAACUUGGGAGCCUCUUGAGAGUGUACAGCAUCAGCCCUUGCCAACUCUUGUUUAUAUGCAUUUAACUUUCAGUUAACCAUGGGAAUAAUUCAUGAAAAUCCAAUCUACAAACAAAGGCCAUCCUAACGUUCAUGUUAUUCUUUUCCCUAAGAAUCUUUCACAAGAGCUAUAAUCAAGUAGAAUUAUGCUUUGAUUUGAAUUCUAAUUCAAUUGAAAAUAAAAAAUGAGGGCCGGACGCGGUGGCUCAUGCCUGUAAUCCCAGCGCUUUGGGAGGCUGAGGUGGACGGAUCACGAGGUCAGGAGAUCGAGACCAUCCUGGCUAACACGGUGAAACCCGAUCCCUACUAAAAAUACAAAAAAUUAGCCGGGCGUGGUGGCAGGCGCCUGUAGUCCCAGCUACUCGGGAGGCUGAGGCAGGAGAAUGGCGUGAACCCAGGAGGCAGAGGUUGCAGUGAGCCGAGAUCAUGCUACUGCACUCCAGCCUGGGCGACAGAGCGAGACUCUGUGUAUAAAUAAAUAAAUAAAUAAAUAAAUAACGAAAAGGUUGCCAUUGCCCUUUCUGGGGAAAGUGAUAAUGAGGAAAGACUAGUUUCUUAACCCAAGUCAGCUUUAGAGUCGGCAAGGAUGCAAUUUGAGGUGAUCCAGGAAAACUCUAUUAGCAUGGUAUUUCCCAUACAGAUUCAUUUCUUUUAGGCCUGAAGUCUUUUUGGCACUUCUUAAUAAAAUCACAGAUACCUCUUGGACAUGAAAGCUUAUCCUUUAUCAAUUUCUAUCAGUUAACCACUCAGAUGAGGAUAAAGGCCUGAGUCAGAAAGGACAGAGAGAGGUUCCACAAAGAGAUAAAAGAUGAGUGGCCAUAAGGAGUCCUUGAAAACACACCUCUCUAGCCCAUCAAAAAAUGCAGCACCUUAAACUCAAGUCCAUCUUACUAGCCUUUAGCAGUACCCCACCACUCUCAAAAUUUCCAGCAUUAAAUGUCUCGGAGCUAUAUAAAAGGCAGACUUAGGUAUAAGUAGGAAGAGAUAUCAAGGGCUUGGGUAUCAUUUCAGCACUAAUGGAGCUUAUGGCAUGUAUGAAUGAACCUGAUGCGUGGUCUCCACGGUAGAUUGUUACAAUUGAGGUCCCACAUUUAUGAGAUUCCCAGUGAAAACAAAUCUCACAGCUUCACCUGAGAGAAACAUUACUGUCAGUCUCAGAUACAAAAGCCUGCUGCUAUUAGGUACCUAUACACCUGCUGAAAAUGGACCAGCUUUGCUGUAGUAGUGCGCGCAGGCAAAAAAAAAAAAAAACAUAAAAAUAACCCGUUUCUCAACAAAUAAAAUUAAUUGGCAGUCAUCACAUUCCCAAGGGAUCAAGGGGUAAAAUCUUUGGCAGCAUAUUGCACAGUGGGCAGGGUGUUUUUGGCUUCAUAAAAGUGAUAAGAGGAGACAACAGGCUAUUCUCUGCUCUUAGAAAUUAUUAGCUCUUUACUAACAUUUAAGAAUCCAUGGGGAAAUUUUUGCUCUGAAUUUGUUAGAAUGUUUAAUAUUAUAACAAUAAUAUUUAAGAUGUUGGUUUGAAGGUGGGGCACGGUGGCUCACGCCUGUAAUCCCAGCACUUUGGGAGGCUGAAGCAGGUGGAUUACUUGAGGUCAGGAGUUUAAGACCAGCCUGGCCAAAUGGUGAAACCUCAUCUCUACUAAAAAUACAAAUAUUAGCCAGGUGUGGUGGUGCACACCUGUAAUCCCA
This 2318-nucleotide long non-coding RNA is filed under the name Homo sapiens (human). RNAcentral describes it as "HSALNT0329375". Lineage: Eukaryota; Metazoa; Chordata; Mammalia; Primates; Hominidae. The record is from RNAcentral.